UACGUAGGGUGCAAGCGUUACUCGGAAUUACUGGGCGUAAAGCGUGCGCAGGCGGUUAUGCAAGACAGGUGUGAAAUCCCCGGGCUCAACCUGGGAACUGAAUUUGUGACUGCAUAGCUGGAGUGCGGCAGAGGGGGAUGGAAUUCCGCGUGUAGCAGUGAAAUGCGUAGAUAUGCGGAGGAACACCGAUGGCGAAGGCAAUCCCCUGGGCCUGCACUGACGCUCAUGCACGAAAGCGUGGGGAGCAAACAGG
RNAcentral lists this ribosomal RNA (253 nucleotides) under uncultured bacterium. RNAcentral describes it as "partial 16S ribosomal RNA". It matches the Rfam family "Bacterial small subunit ribosomal RNA", at positions 524 to 776 of the family's 1533-position model. The record is from RNAcentral.